Molecule: ribosomal RNA, 504 nt
Filed under: uncultured bacterium
Lineage: Bacteria
Description: bacterial SSU rRNA
Rfam family: Bacterial small subunit ribosomal RNA
Source: RNAcentral
AACGAACGCUGGCGGCGUGCCUAACACAUGCAAGUCGAGCGCGAACGAUCCCUUCGGGGGUCUAGUAGAGCGGCGAACGGGUGAGUAACGCGUGGGUAACCUGCCCUUUGGUGGGGAAUAACCUCGGGAAACUGAGGCUAAUGCCGCAUGAGCUCCUGGACUUCGCGGAGACCGGGAGGAAAGAAUGCCUCUGCUUCAAGCAUUCGCCAGGGGAGGGGCCCGCGUCCCAUUAGCUUGUUGGUGAGGUAACGGCUCACCAAGGCGACGAUGGGUAGCCGGCCUGAGAGGGUGAACGGCCACACUGGGACUGAGACACGGCCCAGACUCCUACGGGAGGCAGCAGUGGGGAAUUUUGCGCAAUGGGGGAAACCCUGACGCAGCGACGCCGCGUGCGGGAUGAAGGCCUUCGGGUUGUAAACCGCUGUCGUACGGGACGAAACCCCGGUGGAUGAAUAAGCCAUCGGGCUGACGGUACCGUGCAAGAAAGCCCCGGCUAACUCCGUG